AACCCAAGCUCAAGCCGGGCCGGCGCCCGCCCUCGCCCCAGGGCCUCUCCCGGGUCCCGCCGAGGACUACCGGAUCCGCCGGCGGGAGGGGGAGGGGCCGGGGCCGCGGAGCCCCGCACUCACCAGGCUCAAGGCAACCGACCCCGGUGCCGAUGCUGGGGUGAGCCGCUUGCUCGCUCGCCUUCCCGCCGUUCCUCUCCGGCGCACAAGCUCCAAGUGCCGGCCAGCGCCGGUGCUCACCAGGCCCUCGCUCUCUGCCGCCGCGCACCCAGCAGCGAGACCCUGUUCAGCGGGCGUUCGCAGUGCGCCUGCGUGCGGGGGCCGGCCCACGCGCCUGCGUAUUUCCCUCUGCUGCCCUGCUGCAGAGGCUACCGGGAGACGUAGUCUUUCAGCCGUCAUUCUCUGAAAGCCCUAGCUGUUAGCGGGAACCAAUGAAGAGUCAAGGGUUUGGGACGUCUCGCUGAGGACGGGACUGGGGCUGGACAUGCUCCUGCAGGGCUUGAAGAAGUGAGCUGUCAUGCUAUGAACUGCCUAACCGGAGGGCCAUGUGGCAGCGAUCUACUAAUGGCUUCUAGGACCUGAGUGCCUCCAGCGGACAACCCAAAAGAAGCCAGGGCCCUCAAUCCUACAACCAUGAAGAAAUGAAUUCUACCAACAACCUGAGAGAGCUUAGAAGUGACCCUUCCCCAGUCAAGCCUUCAGAUGAGAAGAUAGACUGACUUAUACCCUGAUUAUAGCUUUGUGAACCAGCUGAGCCUAGACUCCUGGGCCACAGGAACUGUGAGAUAAUAAAUAUGUUUUAAGCCA
Suricata suricatta (meerkat) is the source of this 807-nucleotide long non-coding RNA. RefSeq lists it as uncharacterized. The transcript has 2 exons. The record is from RefSeq and is a predicted model, not a curated record. Lineage: Eukaryota; Metazoa; Chordata; Mammalia; Carnivora; Herpestidae.